This 326-nucleotide long non-coding RNA is filed under the name Mytilus galloprovincialis (Mediterranean mussel). Lineage: Eukaryota; Metazoa; Mollusca; Bivalvia; Mytilida; Mytilidae. The record is from RNAcentral.
UGGGUGUCAAGCUUCAGUUGUGAUUUAUAUUUGAAUUUUUCCAUUAUUUGUACAUUACGAUGUUUUUUAGUCCAAUGUAAUAUCCAGAACUGCGUACACUUUCAUAGAUCCUUUUGUUACCCCAGUCAUUGCUUAAGUUCGUGCUGAUUAUUUUCGGUGCUUUCUGUGUAGCUGUUUUUAUCUUUAUUUUGUUUUCUUUUGACGUUAUUGUGUAUGUUUUGAUCACGAAAAAUGAUAUAUAAUUUCCCGUUUGCUAUUUUCACAGUCAUCGUUUGCAAUAAACAACUAUUAUCAUGCAAAGUAUAUUUCGUUGCAUAUGCUCUAAG